GACGAACGCUGGCGACGUGCUUAACACAUGCAAGUCGAACGAGGUCCAUCCGGUGCUUGCAUCGGAGAAGACCUAGUGGCGAACGGGUGCGUAACACGUGAGCAACCUGCCCCGAAGACCGGGAUAACAGCGGGAAACCGCUGCUAAUACCGGAUAUCCCCACCAGAUCGCAUGGUCAGGUGAGGAAAGGCCUGGAUCUCUUGAGAACCAGACGCUACGGGAGGGGCUCGCGGCCUAUCAGCUUGUUGGUGGGGUAACGGCUCACCAAGGCAACGAC
This 277-nucleotide ribosomal RNA is filed under the name uncultured bacterium. RNAcentral's name for it is "partial 16S ribosomal RNA". It matches the Rfam family "Bacterial small subunit ribosomal RNA", at positions 28 to 280 of the family's 1533-position model. The record is from RNAcentral.